UCAGAUUAAGGAGUUUGGCGCAGUGUCAAAAGUAGACUUUUCUUCACAGCCACCAUAUAAUUAUGCUGUUACAGCUUCUUCAAGGAUUCACAUUUAUGGCAGAUACUCCCAAGAACCUGUAAAAACCUUUUCUCGAUUUAAAGACACAGCAUACUGUGCUACUUUUCGACAGGACGGUAAACUGCUUGUGGCUGGCAGUGAAGAUGGUGGAGUUCAUCUUUUUGAUAUAAGUGGAAGGGCUCCCCUUAGGCAGUUUGAAGGACAUACAAAAGCAGUUCAUACAGUAGAUUUUACAGCUGACAAAUACCAUGUGGUUUCUGGGCUGAUGAUUAUACAGUUAAAUUGUGGGAUAUUCCAAACUCCAAAGAAAUUCUGACAUUCAAAGAACAUUCUGAUUAUGUGAGGUGUGGAUGUGCUAGCAAAUUGAAUCCGGAUCUCUUUGUAACAGGAUCAUAUGAUCAUACUGUGAAGAUGUUUGAUGCACGAGCAAAUGAGAGUGUUAUCUCUGUAGAGCAUGGACAGCCAGUGGAGAGUGUCUUGCUUUUUCCUUCUGGAGGUCUUCUGGUGUC
Talpa occidentalis (Iberian mole) is the source of this 569-nucleotide long non-coding RNA. RefSeq lists it as uncharacterized. The transcript has 4 exons. The record is from RefSeq and is a predicted model, not a curated record. Lineage: Eukaryota; Metazoa; Chordata; Mammalia; Eulipotyphla; Talpidae.